Pan troglodytes (chimpanzee) is the source of this 4212-nucleotide long non-coding RNA. Lineage: Eukaryota; Metazoa; Chordata; Mammalia; Primates; Hominidae. The record is from Ensembl.
GAUUCUAUAAACCUGGAGAGUAAUCCUAAGAAAAAUCAUCAGAAGAAAGGAAUUUGUAGAACUAAAACUGCAAACAUCCAGAAUCUUGAUGGUGUGCCAAGCCAAAUGUCAACUGGAACUCAACCAAAAACUAAAUUUCACAGGCUAGCCUGCGUAACCCUAUUUCAGCCAUAAAUUACCUGAUGUGUAAAAUUCACUGCCCUGUAGAACAUGUCUGAGGAACAUGUGUUCAUUUGUGAAUCUAGGCCUGACUGCCAAACAAGUGACUCUCAGUUCCUGACAAGUACUGAGGGCAUGGGCUCUCCCAGCUCGAGUCGUUCCCAUGGGGCUAGGACUGUGCGUUGGUUGGAGAUGAGACAGCCUUUACUGAUCACAUAUUUCCUCUGUCUUGAAUGGAUAGCAGCAUCGACUGUUGCAAUAAAUUCUCCACUCUGCAGACCUGGGCAGCCCACACCUGUGCCAGAAAUUAUGCACCAGAUGGCAAAUGAAAAUGACUGGAUAUCUAUGAGAAGAGGAUAUUUAGAGAAAAUACACAUUUACAAGUAAAGCAAGGUAUACAUUCAUUUUGCAGUGCUCUUAAAAACACAUUUGAACAAGUCGGCCUGCAAAUAUUUAUGGAGUGCCUUCUCUGUGUAGACCUUUAAGAAUUGCUAUUUUUGUGUUGAGUUGGCUCUAUGCAGGACUUGGAAAUAUUACGAAUACCUCAUCUCUUACAAAAAGAUGGGAGAAAUAAUGAUUUCCUAAUGUUUCAAGGUCUCUCCACUGUUGAUUUUCUGUGUUAUGAAGUUGGAACAGAGAUUAAGGGAUUAACCAUCAACGAUGCUUUCUGUGGCUUUUUAAGUUGGUCAUUGCUAAAAAAAUUUUGUAAUGGCACUUGUUAAAGCACUUCAAGAUAGGUAUAGGAAUCACAGUAAUGAGAUUUUGCAGUGGGGAAGAGAUGGGGUUCAACUCUAAAUGCAGCAUGGGCAAGUUGGAAUUUAUAGCCAAGGAGGAGGGUGGAGGCCAGUGGAUAAAAAAAAUUCCCAGCUGGGCACAGUGGCUCACACCUGUAAUCUCAGCACUUUGGGAGGCCGAGGUGGGUGGAUCACUUGAGGUCAGGAGUUCAAGACCAGCCUGACCAACAUGGUGAUGGGGUUCCAUCUUAAAAAAAAUGAAAAGGAAAGAAAAAAGAAGGAAGGAAGGAAGGAGAGAGAGAGAGAGAGAAAGAAAGAAAGAAAGAAAGAAAGAAAGAAAGAAAGAAAGAGAAAGAAGAAAGAAAGAAAGAAAGAAAGAAAGAAAGAAAGAAAGAAAGAAAGAAAUAAAUAAAUAAAUUACCAAGAGGAAAUAUCAUCAACAGGAGUGGGAGUCUGCCUAAACCCACCUGAGAGGAUUCUUGCUGAAGACAGGCCAGGGUAAUCAGACAUCAUCACCUGGGGGCUGGUGAUGCAUAAUGAACCUGAUCAGAUAUUGAGGGGCAUCAGGUAUGCAGGCUUGUUAAGCUGACUUAGCAGGGUUCUUGCUAAAGUGCUCAGAUGGGCCUAGGAGGUUUAGAUGUUUGGUCAAGCAGAGAAUCUUUGUCAUCAUGUGCCUUGACCUUAUAUGACUCAUGGAAGACAGGACCCAUUGGAAUAGCCUAGCUCAUGGGCAGGAGGCUCUGACCAGGUGGUAGAAAUAGAUUUGGUUCAUACACAAAUAGCAGGGUCCUACAGACUUUAAAUAUCCAGAAAAGUCUCCAUCAGGGUAUGCAAAGUGCAGAAGUGACUGUGAAUUCUGGCCAUAAAUAUCAGCGUCUUGAAGUUCAGGUUCUUUAGUGAUUACACAGCUGUUCCUGGAGAGUGAGUGUGACAGGUGAGUUAUCAAACUGUGCCACUUGCCUCUACUCAGCACUAUCAUCCUCCCCACCCUCCCCAAACAGCUGUCACCUCUUGGGAAAUUUCCUUCUCUACAAUUAAGACCGCAGGACCAUAAAUUGGUGCCCCACCUCCCCUCCCACAUUUGCAUAACAAAAAUGAGGUCUCCUGAAUCUUUUUAGUUUUCAAAUCAUUUUGCUGGAGAAAACUUGAGAGGCAGUUUGGCAUAGCUUUUUGAGCUGCACGAAUGUUAUCUUGGUGGAUUUCAGGAGUAGCCACAGGUAGGCGGCUUUCUAACCCUUCAUAUUGAAAUUAGAUUGCUGUCCUUACUGUUGAGGAAUACAAGCAGUGAGUCCAAAGUAGAAGGGCAAUUCGAUGGAUAAAUUUAUACUUUAACACUCUCAGAAGUAUCUUCAUUUUUAACAGAUCCUGUCUUGCCCAAGUAAAUCUGGGAUGGGGGGUAAUUUUGGCAGUGUAACAGUAAAAUGAAAGCAAACCAAGUAAUGCACAAGAAACUGUUUCAGAAAUGGGCACAACACAGGCUGACUAGCCCUGUCUAGAAGUCUGUGCUCCUGGAAGUUGUUUCUGCUUUUUCAGAGCCUUUUCCUGCCCCCAACUUCUAGUCUCACUGAUUCCCUAAAAGCUUCAAGAUUGUUGUUGUUGUUGUUGUUGUUUGUUUUUGCCAUUGUUUUUAAAUAAUGAGUCCCAGAAGCAGAUGUAGAGGAGGAGAAAGAGUGUGGCAGGGAGCAGCCAGUAGGUAGACAGGACACAGAGACAGGGCAGGCGGUUCUCAGUACAGUCUGGUUAUUGUGAGGCAGGUUUGUAUACAUCAUGGAUUGACAAUGGUUUGUUAUAAACAUGUCUCUGUAUGGAUUUAUUUGUCUUAAAAAUAUCAGAAGUGUAAAAAGAAUGGCAAAUCACAAUUGCAAGAGUAUGUCCAGCUGUUGAUGGCAAACGCUUGGAAAAUAUCCAGCCCCAUUGCUCCCUUGAGCUGGAUUGAUACUGCCUAUGAACUUCCUUCAAGACAAACACAAUCAGUUUGGCCAUCCCUUUUAAUUAACUCCACAUUAUCAGAGGAACCUUUAUGCACUCCCUUGAAUAUCAGGACUAAAUUUGUUUCACUCCAUGUAGAACUGUCUUACUGGAUGUAAUUUUCCAGAAAGUCAAUUCUGCCUUCAGGGCCAGUAGGAACAUCUGUGAAUAUUCUGCCCCUGUUCUGCCAACUUUGGUUUAAGUCUUCAGACAUCAUUUUAGGUAUAAGGAAAACCAUUUCUUAAAAUUUCUAAUGGAAUAACUUCAGGACCAGCAUACUUGCUAUAUGAGUAGCAUCAAAUUCUUACAUCUAUCCUCCAACAAAUGAGGGCCAAGGAACUCUUCUUUGGUUGAGGUAGAGGUAGGCAAAACGAAUUGGGUUUUAGCUGUUCAGCGGUGAUGUUAAUGCCCAUGGGACAAAAAAAGAGGGCAGGAUGAGCUUGAAUAGGGUGGGGGGAACAUUCUGAUAAAGACCUAUGAUGCAAAGUUGAAAGCUCAGCAUUGCCCAUCAAACUGAGCCCCAUAGGUAAUCUAAAAUAUUUUAGCAGCCACUUUAAAAAAAGUAAAAGGAACAGGUAUAAUUAAUUUUAAUAGUAUAUUUUAUUGAAACCAAUAUAUCCUAAAUCUUAUCAUUUUUGACAUGUGAUCAACACACAAAAAUUACUGACAUAUUACUUUUUUUUCUUCUCCCUACUUUUUUUUUCUGAGACAAGGUCUUGCUCUGUUGCCCAUGCUGGAGUACAGUGUUGCAAUCAUAGCUCACUACAACCUCGAACUGCUGGGCUCAAGUGAUCCUUGCUCCUCAUCCUUCCAAAGUGCUGGGAUUACAGGCAUGAGGCACCAUGCCUGGCCUGAUAUGUAACUUUCUUUGAGGGGUUCUAAGUCCUCAAAAUCUGGUUUGUAUUUUACACUUAUGGCACAUCUCAAUUUGGACUAGCCACAUCCCAAGAGCUCAGGAGGCAUUUGUGGGCCACGGACAGAGAAGCUCUAGGUGGUAACCCAAUAGGAAGGACUUUAUGAUGACCAAAGCCAUUUGUUAUUGUUUAACCAAUAAAAAGAUAAUCUUAUAGAAUCUAAGUCAGAGAGCAUUAAAAAGAAUAAUGAGAAAAAAUUAAGCAAAUUAACUUUGGAUAUGGAUUCCCAAGAAAUAGCCUGGCAAAGGAAGAUUUAUUUGACCAGUAGAGUUUACUGAAUAGGCUUCAGAUGCAUGUAAGGGGAUAUGUUUUUUUACUUUGAAUUAAAAUAUGAUGAUGGAAUUCAUUCAAAAAUGUUCUCAGUGUUCUUAAGGUAAGUAAGAAAAGCUGAAACUGAUAUGCUUAAUUAUUGCCCUGGGUUUCAGUAAUACUCCAAC